CCCCACUGCCCCCGUACCUGCACCCACAUCUCCUCUCUGCUCUCCCGCGCCCUAGGGUUAGCCACCGCCGCCCUUAAUCCGGCGAGCUCCGGUGACCAUGGUCGGCGUGCAGCAUGCUACCGAGCUCACCACGCUCCGUUGCGUCGAUUCCUCCGGCCAGAUUCGUCCCUCCCCCCUCGAACGCUGGCGCCCAACCCAUCCCUCCGCGACUAGGGUUUGGUGCGCGGCCUCGUCUCUGCCACCGGCGUGCCUCUGGCGGUCCUCUACGCCUCAUCGCAUGGCUCCUCACGCGGCUGCGCCUGCUGGACGCUGCUUCUCCACCAAAAGGCAGUGGCAGAGGAGGGCCUUAUCCACCACCACGCAACGGCAGCCAAGGUCCUCCUCCCCCAUCUCGCCUCUCUCCCUCUCUCAGCCCCCUGUUUCUUUCGAUUUGGGAAGAAAAUUUCCUUUUUCCCUUAUGCAAUUUCUGAUUUGACCGGGUUUGUUUUUAGGGGCAUUAAUUUGGUGCUUUCUGUGUCCAGAGAAAAGUAGUAGAAGGGGAUGAGGAAGGAGGAGAAAGACCAGAAGAAGGGCAAGGGAGGUGGGGCGAUCUGCAUGUCCAUGGAGCAGUAGGACGACGACGAGAGGACGAGUACCUCGACGGCGACGACAACUAGGAGGAUGAACCCACCCACAAGGGUGCCGAUGCUGGCCAUCAGAACGACGACUCUUCGUCCUGCACCACCUCACGCUGUGGCGGCUACAUGUAAUUUUUUUGAGAUUGCCUAUGUUUUAAUCCUAUGGAUCCGCUGCAUGCUUGGUACUAGCAAUCUGCCUUUCAAGUAGAUCCAAUCAACAUCCAAGUUUCUGAAAAUUCAGUUUAGAAUUCUAUGCAAUUCCAUCAGUGGAGAGACAGAGAGAGAAAGGGGGUCCAUGGUCUAAACCUACACAUCAUCUGCAAUGCAAUCGAGAGAGAGGGAUAGAGAGGCAUCAGCUGAGUGUGGAUGAAUUUCCUAACCCUAAUAGGCAAUGCCAAUUUAUUUCUUGAGCCACAUGCUUCCUGGUAGGUAAACUCAAGAAGGUUCCGUUAGUGUUGGUAGUCUGUACUUGUGUUAUUCAAGAGGUUGUAUUAUUUUGAGAAGGCAAGAGGCAAUAUUUACAGUAUGUUUCAUACAUCCUACAAUAUGUAUAGCUUCCCAUCUCGAUUAUUUCCAGGAUUGCGAUCCUUUUGACAUAUUUAAUUUUCCUUUAAUCAUUGAGACUGGGCAUGGGUUUGAGCUCUCUGUUUUGUGCACUGGUUUUAGCUCAUUUACGCUGCCUAAAUUCUGCUUUACUUCCGAACGCAACACACUAAUUAGUGCAUGUACAGGGUUAGUGAAGGAAAGUUUGCAGUUGCAGCCGUCACUCUAGAUGAUUAUCUUUCGAUGCAAAGUACUGAAAUGAAAAGUUGGUGACUUGCUUUCUAAAAUAUGAAAGCAUUAGUUUCUUGUUCUAUUCAUUUCAUCAUAGAUUUGGUAGCACAAAAAUGGCAUACUUAGAUAGGUUAACUCUAAAAUAACACAAAUAAUGAAUAAGAUGGAAAAACAAGGAAGAGGAGGAAGAGAAGGAAUAGGAAGAGCUCUUCUUCUUCUUCUUCUUCUUCUAGUCUUCUUCUUCUUCUAAUUUCUUACUCCCAUUUUUGCAGGUUUGGUUCACUUCAUGGAAGGGCAGAAUGCUACUAUUUAGACGUUAGAUGUUUGAUGCAUUGGAUGUUUGUGAAACUAUGUAUAUAUGAAUUGGAUGUAUGAUGUUUGAUGUUUCAUGACGAUGGUGAAAUUAUGUUUGAUGUAUGAUGUUUGAAAC
Molecule: ribosomal RNA, 1821 nt
Filed under: Triticum aestivum (bread wheat)
Lineage: Eukaryota; Viridiplantae; Streptophyta; Magnoliopsida; Poales; Poaceae
Description: partial small subunit ribosomal RNA
Source: RNAcentral